This 86-nucleotide ribosomal RNA is filed under the name uncultured Acinetobacter sp. RNAcentral describes it as "partial 16S ribosomal RNA". The record is from RNAcentral. Lineage: Bacteria; Pseudomonadati; Pseudomonadota; Gammaproteobacteria; Moraxellales; Moraxellaceae.
UCCUACGGGAGGCAGCAGCCGCGGUACGGGAGGCAGCAUCGUCCUACGGGAGGCAGCAGCCGCGGUAUGUGCCAGCAGCCGCGGUA